ACUCCGAGUUUAUCCUUUAUUAAUGAGGCACCGAGUGCCCCGCUGUUUUAGAGCAGCGAGACUUUCAUAAUAUCAAAACCUAAAUUACACUUGCGUCUCUCAUCCCAGGGACGAGCAUCUUUCGGCUCCGUUUGCAGAGUGAGUAAGCAGGGAUCCCUCCCCGCCUGCCUGGCAUUUAUUGGCACCUUUCUUCUGACUGGAGGGAGGGAGGGAGGAUGUACACACACACACACACACACACACACACACACACACACACACACACACACACGCCUUGAGUCCUCCAGAGAGCUCCACAUCUAAAGCCUUGGAGCCCACGGUGUGACGCUGCCUGGGAUGCCAGCCUUCAUUCCGAAGUGUGCAGAGUUUACAGGAUCAAGGGGUCACUCCGGGCCCUGGGGUGUGGAGGUGUGGGAUGGUCAGCAGACGCCUACAAGCUCUGUGAGCAGGUUACUCCCUGUCUCUUAGCUUCAGUUCGCCAUGUGCAAAAUGGGGAUGAUAAUAGCUUCCUCCCAGGACGGUUGUGAGGACUCAGUUAAUGGGUCAUAGGCAAGGUUGGUGCAUAGCAAGUCCUUGGUAAAUUUGCGCUGUGAUGGUGACAGUGACAUUUAGCCCCCUCUUUGGAAUGGGACCCCAGUGUCUUUCAUUCCUGGAACACACUACAUGUAGGGCCACAGAGGAGAACCCAGGUCCUGCAAUGACAGGGAGAUACCAGGGCUCAUCUUACCCCAGCACAGGCAAGACCUGACCGCCUAGUGCCCCCAGCCCCCCAACCCUGAGCUCAGCUGGGGCAAGGAGCCUGGACCCUCUUGGCCCCCUGACUCUCCAGGUCCAAGGCUCUUCUAGGACCCCUUGGGGAUUGUGCCUACCCUGCCCCAGCCCUGGGCCAAACAAACUAGCUGGGCAGGUGGGCAGGCAGGUGCUGUGUGGGUAGGAUUUACAGCCUGGCCGGCCAAGCUCCUGGUGCUCCGGUGGGCGUCAUGUCAAAUCUGUCCCAUUAUAUGGACAGUUGAGUUUAAUAGUCAUUGUGUGCUCUCUCAGAGCCCAGCAAACAUCGCGGGGUGACACCCCCUCCACGCGAGCAGCCCGCUCCCCAGCCACACGGCCCAUCCGUACAGUAAAUUAAAAAUAUGAAUCACUUCUCCCCACUGCCUCCCCAAACGCUCAUCUUGUCAGCCUCUAUGUUGCCUUCAUUUGUAUUACCUUAAUUUAAUGUUAAUUAUGGUCUUCAUUUACAAAGAACAAGCGAGCCCUGCUCUGCCAGGGGACCUUCCCCGCACCCCCUCCCCCUCAGCCCAGGAGGGAGAGGCUGGGGGAGAAGAGGAAUUCGGGGGGCUACGAAGGAGUAAGGAAAGGGGUUGGAAGAGGGUGGGAGAUAAGAUCUGGGCCAUCUGUGGCUAAUGGGCCCUUAGGGAGGGACUAGGAAGGACCCCCCCACACACACCCUGUCUUCAAUCAUUUAUUUAUUCAACAGCUAUUUAUUGAGCACCUAAUAAGUGCUAGAUAACCAGGAAAUAGAAAGAUAAGGGAGGGGGGGUCUUCCUCCCUAAUAAGGGCUAAUGGAGUCCCCUCUGCCUUCCUGAAGUGAAUUGCUGGAAGCAGCAUCAGGAAGACAUGUCAUUCCUGCCCCAGGUGGGCUGGUACCUGACCCAGCCCAAAGGGCACAGGACACAGGCAAGAGAGCUUCCCAAGCCCCUGUCUUGGCUCCUGGUGCCAUCCGUACCCCAAGCUGCUUCGUACUCUUUCCAGCAGGAAGUUCUUUCUGAAGUCUUUCCUGAGUCCCUCUUGCUGCAGAUCAUUCCAGGCUUAGCACCUGAGUGGGGUCAGGAGUGGAAAGGUGACACCCAGGCUACACCAUCUCUGGAGGGCUGGGAGGAAGGCAUUAUGGGGAUCAGCACCCCACUAUUAACCACUCCAUCAACUCUACCAUCCCAUGACCUCAACACCCAGCCCUGCUGACUUGCCCAAAGUCCUGUGUCUGAGGUGCCUGGGAGGUCUGAGUGUGACCGUUUGGCUGUCCCUGUGCUGCCACACUCUGCCAAUGGGACACACAGUCACAGGAAAGCGUGUAGAACCUUGGGGCGGGGGGGAGGGGGGUUCAUGUCACACGUGUGCACACAGGGAGCUGGCAGAGGGCCACCUGCACUCAAGCUGCCAUUAACCACAGACACCAGCCCCUCCCCCCAGCACGCGUCUCCUCAACUGGGGAAGAGGAUCUCCAGCUGGGAAUAUCUGCUUGACAGAUGAGGCUGUUCUGAGUGUGUGUCUGCGUGUGUGUCCGUCUCCAGGGAGCUUUGAUCCACACGCAGGGACAUGUGUCCCCUCAGGUUCGAUGUGCCCCCUCAGGUUCCGUGUGCCUGUGUGUAUGUGCAGGAGCGUGUGUCCAGCAGGCCCACGUGCAUGUGUACACGCCUGUGCUCCUGCCCGCUACCGCCACCCCCCCUCUGCCUGUCAGCGGCACUGAUGACAUUGGCGCAGAGGAAAGUGAUGACAAAUGCCCGUUAUCAGCGAACGAGGCCGAUGACAAAUGGGUGGGCGCCCGAGCAGCCCCAUUACGCUGUAAUAACAGAAGAUGGAUGGCCUGGCGCCCCCCCCACCACCCCUACCCCUCUGCGCCGGUAACGGGAUCCGGCUCCGCCCGCCCGGGAGGGAGCCGAGCCGCCCGCCUGGCCGCCAAUCACGGCGGGGCCGAGAAGCCCAGGCCGUGGAGCCAGGAGCCCACGCGGCCGCCCGCGGCGGAGGAACAAAGCGGCGCGCUCGGCGGGAGCAGAAGGCGCACGGGGAGUCCAGCCCGCCUGCGGCCAGGACACGCAGCUGUGCACACACAUGGCCGACGCACGCGCCUGCCGCCUGUGUCCUUGCACCGUGCACCUGCAGCUCCUGUCCAGGCACAACCCCCACCUCACGGGAGCACGGACACGUGCUUUCAUACCGUGCAUGGGCAUACAUCUGCCCCCAGAUCCAGGUACACACCCACCCACAUAAACCCAUGCACACACGGCAGUUCGUGCACGCGCCUACAGAAACCACUAAUGUUUGUGCACAUGAAUGCUGCCAGCAUGUCUGCACGUGGAUGGAUACGGAAAUAUGCACACACAUAAGCAAAAAUGCUUGUACAUGGAUACCAACCCUUACACUCCGUUCUGUGCACACAAUUCAGGGCCUCCAAACACCCCCACAUCCACAUGCCAAAGAUGCCCACAGCUGCAUCAACAAAUAUUAACCACACACAUGUCAGCUAGGUGCUGUGGAGUAACAGUGAUGAAUGUGACACCAUUCCUGGCUUCUAGAAUUUUAAGUCGGCUAUGGGGGCAGACAAAUGGCUGGGAGUGAAGGCAGAAGAUGAUUUGUGUUUUGACCCAAGUACGUAGUCUGUGAUGUGAGAUUUCAAACUGGAACAUCAGCAAAGUCUUCCUGGAGGAGGUGAUUAAAGGAAGAGGAAAUUUUCAAAAGGAAUUGAAUUUCGGAAAAAAAAAAAAAAGUAUGGAAAUGGAAUUGGAAAGUGUAGCAAGUGUUUGGGACCAAGAUACCCAAGGGGCCAAUAGUCCAGGCAAAUAGUGUUGGGUGAGUGCGGGAGGAGAGAAACUUCCCAGACUGGGGCCACGAGGCUGAGCUGGGAAGGGGCUGGGGCAGAUCCACGUGAGAGACCCAGGAGGCCUGAGCUAGCUCCUGAUGUGGGAAAGGAGAGGACCAGGAGGUCAGUAGAUGGAACAGUAGUAAGUGGAUGAAGAGUGCCAGGCAGGGCCAACUCCCUGGGUGUGUGACCUGGGCAGUCCCAUUGGGCCCUGUGUUUAGAAGAGCCCUGUGCUUGCUCUGUCUUAAAAUUCUUUACGUUUUAUAAUAAGAAGGCUUUUCAUAUGGCACUGAACCCUGAAAAUGAUAUAGCCAGUCCUAGAAUUAGGGAUCUAUCAGGUUGAUCCAGUAAGACAGAAGGAGCAGGUUUAGGGGGAGAAGAUGGUGAGUUCGGGGGGCCAGGGGUAUAUGAGAGUCUGGAUGUGGAGUGAGGAGUUGAGGUGAUGGGUAAAGAUUUAGUAUAUCCCUCCCCGGAAUGGGAGUUGGUGCCCUGCUUAUGCCUUGGCCGAUGCUUGUUUCUGCUCCACAGGGAGUCCAUGCACUGCCACAUUGUCAUAGGGCUGCCUCCAAAAACAUGUCUGUGUACUUCCUUGCUGGAAUAUAAGCUCUCCAGUGUUGCCCCUAUGUCUCCAGGGCAUGGCAUACAGUUGCCACACAACACCCGUUAAAGGUGUGUUGGACUAAGGACUAAAGGUGUGUGAAGGACUAAGUGAAGGAGCACACGCGGUCCACAUAUGUACACACUCUGGGCAUCUGGUCCCCCACCAUGGGGAGGAGUACAUGCAGGCCUGCAUAUGGCCCCCCUAUCCCAUUGCCACUGUCCUCUAUCUCCUCCCGGGUUGUUCUGUCACCCUGUGUCUACUUUACAGAAAGAAUGCCCUUGUCCCAGGGCUCCCUCAUUGGGUAUUUCCUUUGUAGACAGAGUUGGGCAAAGGUUAAUUAGUGAGCCCAGGACCCUGGGGUGAUGGGCAGGGAGAGGCUGUGAUUUGGAGCCAGAGGAUCUGAAUUGAAGUCUCAGCUCCUCUCUCUGAGCUUUAACUCUUCAUCCACAAAAUGGGACUAUAAAAUGGAAAAGCAUUUACAUCAGCACCUUGAUGCCGACAGAGCUAAUUAGGGGAGAUAUAGUCAAACAGGUCGGGUACUGAGAGAGCUGCUUCCUUCCCCCUCAGCUCUGGGUUCCCAGGGGUGUCAAAAAUAGACUGAGGGUCCUGAGGAUGAGACAGGUGACGUCAAACAGGGGAGGGGAGCUGGCCGACUGGAAGAAGAAUGCUUUCGUCUUCUCUCAAUAGGAGCCAGAGGAUCUGGGAGCUGAGACUCAGGCCCUGCCUCCCACAGCCCACCUGCAAGCAGGGACACAUAAGAGGCAGAGCAAAUAUGAGGUGCCCUCCAGGACUAAAGGAAGCAUUCUAAACUUGGGUAGCUUGGGAAGGGGGAAGCAGAGGACAUCUCCAGAGAUAUGGACCAAGAGAGAAAGCCAGUGGGGGUGGGCGGAGGGUUCCUCCUUAUUUCUCUCCCAGGAUGCCCUGUCUUCUGUCCCACAGGGACUCCACCUGCUAACUUUGUCUUCCUGAUAUGUGACUUUCUCCAGGCUACAGAAUGGGGGCGGGGGAGUAUUUCCAGGAGGCCCCUCUGGUCUCCCUCACCCUCAUGUGACCCACUUCAGGUUUCUCCAGUAGGUGCUGGUCCCUGCCUCCACCUCCCCUCUCAGCUGUGCUAACCAUCACCUCUCAGACCCGGUCAAGAGGCUCUCGGAAAGCGCCCCCUAAGGGGCCUGUAGCAAGAGGCACCGGGAUUAGAAGAUGCCCGGAGGAAAGAGAUGGGCUGGUUAAUGGGCCUCGUUCCUCCUCCUUUACCAGUUCACUUUUUCUCUAGCGUUAUUGACCCGUCAUUAGUUAUCCUUCCAAGGUCGCUGGGCCUGGCCCAGCUAUAAAUCACGGCGGCUGGAGGGGGGCUGCCGGCCAGGCCAUGGUUCCCGAGAUACAGCGGAGAACUCAGCGCCCAGAACAGGUCGGAGGAGGUGCAGAUGGCCCUGUCACAGGGGAGCUUCCGCGGAGAGGGCUAAGCCCCUCUUGGUGCCCAUCCACCCACCUCUCCCUCCCGCCUCCACUCUCCCUUUCCAUUUGCUUCUCCAGCGCCACCUCUUCUUCCAUUACUCACUUUUUUCACACACAUACACACCCCCUUUUUUUUUCUUGUGGAGUGCAGCGAUUGGAGAGGUGGGGGACGGGGGAAGCGGUCGACUCACUCCACCUGGUCUCCCCGUUUAGAGCUUUCAGGAGCAAGGACAGAACUCACGCAGGGGGAACCUGAGGCACAGAACUUCGACCAGAAGUGAGUCUGAGGAAGGGGUCCCACCCGAUUCAGCACCAGGGUCACCACUCCUGAAACUGCAGAUCCCAUUCUUCAGCCUGGUGAUGGAGAAGGUCAUCACCCAGGGAGAGGCGCGCCAGGACACGUCCUCAUCGGCCGCCUCCUUCUAAGGAGCGAGGGGCUGCGUAGUCCGGACCCUUCCAGCCCCAGUCCCCACCCCCGAGCUACAAGGGAGGUCCCUGGGCGGUUCCUCCCCGGCACUUGCCGCCCUCUGUACCAUGCCCCCUAUCCCGGGCCUUUGCAAGCUCCUCUUGUCUG
This 6201-nucleotide long non-coding RNA is filed under the name Sus scrofa (pig). Its description in RNAcentral is "lncRNA (ENSSSCG00000058651.1)". Lineage: Eukaryota; Metazoa; Chordata; Mammalia; Artiodactyla; Suidae. The record is from RNAcentral.